GACGAACGCUGGCGGCGUGCCUAACACAUGCAAGUCGAACGGAGAUACGAUUUCGGUUGUAUCUUAGUGGCGAACGGGUGAGUAACGCGUGAGCAACCUGACUCUUAGAGGGGGAUAACACUCGGAAACGGGUGCUAAUACCGCAUAAGACCACGACAUGGCAUCAUGACGAGGUCAAAGGAGCAAUCCGCUGAGAGAGGGGCUCGCGUCCCAUUAGAUAGAUGGCGGGGUAACGGCCCACCAUGUCAACGAUGGGUAGCCGAGCUGAGAGGCUGAUCGGCCACACUGGAACUGAGACACGGUCCAGACUCCUACGGGAGGCAGCAGUGGGGAAUAUUGGGCAAUGGGCGCAAGCCUGACCCAGCAACGCCGCGUGAGGGAAGAAGGCUUUCGGGUUGUAAACCUCUGUCCUUGGUGAUGAAAAAAAUGACGGUAGCCAAGGAGGAAGCCCCGGCUAACUACGUGCCAGCAGCCGCGGUAAGAGUGUGUGUA
Molecule: ribosomal RNA, 492 nt
Filed under: uncultured bacterium
Lineage: Bacteria
Description: bacterial SSU rRNA
Rfam family: Bacterial small subunit ribosomal RNA
Source: RNAcentral